UAGAUCAGAAGCGAGAAUGUUGACAUGAGUAGCGAUAAAGAGGGUGAGAGACCCUCUCGCCGUAAGUCCAAGGGUUCCUGCUUAAAGCUAAUCUGAGCAGGGUAAGCCGGCCCCUAAGGCGAGGCCGAAAGGCGUAGUCGAUGGGAACCAGGUUAAUAUUCCUGGGCCAGGAGGAAGUGACGGAUCUCGAAGGUAGUUUGCCCUUAUCGGAUUGGGUGGGCUGCUCAGAGGUUCCAGGAAAUAGCCCUCCAUCAGACCGUACCCUAAACCGACACAGGUGGACUGGUAUAGUAUACCAAGGCGCUUGAGAGAACCACGUUAAAGGAACUCGGCAAAAUGCCUCCGUAAGUUCGCGAGAAGGAGGCCCCAUAUCUGGGCAACCAGGUGUGGGGGGCACAAACUAGGGGGUGGCGACUGUUUACUUAAAACACAGGGCUGUGCGAAGCCGUAAGGCGACGUAUACAGUCUGACGCCUGCCCGGUGCUGGAAGGUUAAAAGGAGGGGUGCAAGCUCUGAAUUGAAGCCCCAGUAAACGGCGGCCGUAACAAUAACGGUCCUAAGGUAGCGAAAUUCCUUGUCGGGUAAGUUCCGACCUGCACGAAUGGCGUAACGAUCUCCCCGCUGUCUCUAACGUGGACUCAGCGAAAUUGAACUGUGUGUCAAGAUGCACACUACCCGCGGUUAGACGGAAAGACCCCAUGCACCUUUACUCCAGCUUUGCACUGGUAUCAGGAUUGUGAUGUGCAGGAUAGGUGGUAGGCAUCGAAGCGGGGACGCCAGUUCUCGUGGAGCCUCCCUUGAGAUACCACCCUUCGCCAUCUUGAUAUCUAACCGCGGCCCGUUAUCCGGGUCCGGGACCCUGCAUGGUGGGGAGUUUGACUGGGGCGGUCGCCUCCCAAACAGUAACGGAGGCGCGCGAAGGUAGGCUCAGACCGGUCGGAAAUCGGUCGUUGAGUGCAAUGGCAGAAGCCUGCCUGACUGCAAGUCUGACAAGACGAGCAGAGACGAAAGUCGGUCAUAGUGAUCCGGUGGUCCCAAGUGGGAGGGCCAUCGCUCAACGGAUAAAAGGUACGCUGGGGAUAACAGGCUGAUGAUGCCCAAGAGUCCAUAUCGACGGCAUCGUUUGGCACCUCGAUGUCGGCUCAUCUCAUCCUGGGGCUGGAGCAGGUCCCAAGGGUAUGGCUGUUCGCCAUUUAAAGAGGUACGUGAGCUGGGUUUAGAACGUCGUGAGACAGUUCGGUCCCUAUCUGCCGUGGGUGUAGGAGACUUGAGAAGAGUUGCCCCUAGUACGAGAGGACCGGGGUGAACGAACCACUGGUGGACCAGUUGUCGUGCCAACGGCAGUGCUGGGUAGCUAUGUUCGGACAGGAUAACCGCUGAAGGCAUCUAAGCGGGAAGCCCCCUUCAAAACAAGGUCUCCCUUGAGAGCCGUGGAAGACCACCACGUCGAUAGGCCGGA
This 1459-nucleotide ribosomal RNA is filed under the name metagenome. RNAcentral describes it as "bacterial LSU rRNA". It matches the Rfam family "Bacterial large subunit ribosomal RNA", at positions 1278 to 2865 of the family's 2925-position model. The record is from RNAcentral.